Molecule: transfer RNA, 88 nt
Filed under: Chloroflexota bacterium
Lineage: Bacteria; Bacillati; Chloroflexota
Also listed under: 1 other name
Description: Chloroflexi bacterium tRNA-Ser
Rfam family: tRNA
About the family: Transfer RNA (tRNA) molecules are approximately 80 nucleotides in length. Their secondary structure includes four short double-helical elements and three loops (D, anti-codon, and T loops). Further hydrogen bonds mediate the characteristic L-shaped molecular structure. tRNAs have two regions of fundamental functional importance: the anti-codon, which is responsible for specific mRNA codon recognition, and the 3' end, to which the tRNAs corresponding amino acid is attached (by aminoacyl-tRNA synthetases). tRNAs cope with the degeneracy of the genetic code in two manners: having more than one tRNA (with a specific anti-codon) for a particular amino acid; and 'wobble' base-pairing, i.e. permitting non-standard base-pairing at the 3rd anti-codon position.
Source: RNAcentral
GGAGAGGUGCUAGAGUGGACGAAUAGGCACGACUGGAAAUCGUGUGUGCUUAACGGUACCAUGGGUUCGAAUCCCAUCCUCUCCGCCA